Long non-coding RNA from Nicotiana tabacum (common tobacco), 1714 nucleotides. RefSeq lists it as uncharacterized. The record is from RefSeq and is a predicted model, not a curated record. NCBI's taxonomy places the organism in Eukaryota, Viridiplantae, Streptophyta, Magnoliopsida, Solanales, Solanaceae.
UCUCUCUCUCUCUCUCUCUCUCUCUCUCUCUCUCUCUCUCUCUCUCUCUCUCUCUCUCUCUCUCUCUUAAUUUCCUUCUCCUCCCCCUAGAAGAAAGGCGAAAGUCUUGGGGGAUAAAAGGAUAAGAGAGGGACAGAGAGAAAACUACACCAAUAAUUUUUUUUAAAAAAACUCCUAAUAAUCAAGAAAGGGAGCUUUUCUAUUGUGGGGAAUGUUGUCUGGCUCGAGGAAUUUUUAAUCUUGAUCAAAUUCUUUACACAGAUCUAUUAUUAUAUAUGUUCUAUAAUUUCUUUUAGAUCUUAUGUAGAUCUAUAAAUGUUUGUUGUUAGAUCUAUGAAUUUUGAUCAUAUUUUUUUGCUUCGUCGGACCAGGCUUCAUUCCCCUCAAAGAUUGCUGCCAUAUAUUAGUAUCGCGAUUAAGAUCUUUUUUGGUAUACAAAUAAGGUUCUUAAUACCACUGACUAUGAGUAGCUUUAAAUACAAAAUAUAUUAUACUUUCAAUGCGAAGAAGUUAACCCUGAGAACACUACUUCUAGCGGUUGUAUAUGGAAAAGUAUUUGCUACUGCAUUUUUGUUGCUAUGGUGCAGUACUGUUGAGUAUUUAGUGAUUGUUAUUUUUUUGGUAUGCAAACAGGACUAGGUUUAAUUAUUCUUAUAGCUCUUAGGUUUAAGUUGAGAAAACAAGAGAGGAAAGUCAUUAAUGAAUACAAUGAAAAACAUCUGACUGGAAAUGAAGUAAAUGAAUGAUAUAAAAAGGUGAGGUAGACAUCCUGCUGAGAAAAAAGAUAGGCUAUGUAAACCUAUAGGACAGGUAACAACAAUUAAGUGUAGGCUUUCGACUGCCUCCUACAUUUUAAGAAAAAACAAAACAAAGUUCAUUAAGAAUCUAGAAAACCUACAUUUCUGAAGUAGUAAUAACUUAGUCACAUUUAAAUUAUUAAUGAUGAAUCUUUCAAGAAAUUAUGCAAUCAUCUUUUUAUUGGUGUUUAUCACAAUAUUUGAAUGAAAGUGCAUUGCCGUUUCUUCAUGCUCUUUCAGCAACAGCAAAAGGUAGUGUUGGGCUUUGAACUGAUAAAAAAGGCAGUUCGUUUGCACGAAAUAUCCGCGUUCAUGCAGUAUUCAGGGAAAAGUCGUAUCCUAACGUCCUAAGGGGUGUGAUGUAGGCGAUAUCAGUGGCUGAUCAAGAAAUUGUUAGAAAAUGACUUAUAAGGGAAAGACUUGGUGAUUUUGAAUCUUUUUGACUUUGCAAGCUUGAAAGUGGGAACGUUAGCUUUUGUGUUACUAAUUUUUUACACACAUACACACUCGCAAAGAAAGUUAGCUCGAUUUUGAUGCAUGAAUUGUCCAUUCGUUGACUAUUUACUACAUUGUCCGUAGUAUUAAAGAAAAGCUUUGAGAGUAUAACACAUAAACUAUGCCUGUACCCAUUAGUUGCAGCAUAAAGGAUACUGAUCUAUCAAUCCACUGGGGAAAAUCACGAGGUAAGGUGAGAUGGCACAACGGCAGCGAGACGAGGAAAGGCACAUAAUUAGAAGGGUCUGUUUCUUUGUUUAUUUAUGAGCUAAUUGAUUUUAAGUUCUGUUUUUGUUUAUUCAAUAUUAUGCAACUUUUAUUAUUACCACAAAAUGUGGUAUCAUAAAGAACACCGAAUAUGGGUGUGUUAGCCUUGAAUUUGGAUAAGAUAGAAAAAAGUUUUUCUCUUCUAUUUAUUAAAA